Ictidomys tridecemlineatus (thirteen-lined ground squirrel) is the source of this 72-nucleotide non-coding RNA. The record is from Rfam. Lineage: Eukaryota; Metazoa; Chordata; Mammalia; Rodentia; Sciuridae.
GGGGCUGCAGCUCAGUGGCAGAGCACUUGCCUAUCACGUGUGAGGCACUGGGUUCGAUCCUCAGCACCACUA